RNAcentral lists this ribosomal RNA (422 nucleotides) under uncultured Pseudomonadota bacterium. RNAcentral describes it as "bacterial SSU rRNA". It matches the Rfam family "Bacterial small subunit ribosomal RNA", at positions 33 to 500 of the family's 1533-position model. Lineage: Bacteria; Pseudomonadati; Pseudomonadota. The record is from RNAcentral.
ACGCUGGCGGCACGCUUAACACAUGCAAGUCGAACGAGAUCUUCGGAUCUAGUGGCAGACGGGUGAGUAACGCGUGGGAACCUGCCCUUUAGUAGAGAAUAACUUGGGGAAACUCGAGCUAAUACUUUAUACGCCCUUCGGGGGAAAGCUUUAUGCGCUAUUGGAUGGGCCCGCGUUAGAUUAGUUUGUUGGUGAGGUAACGGCUCACCAAGGCUACGAUCUAUAGCUGGUCUGAGAGGAUGAUCAGCCACACUGGGACUGAGACACGGCCCAGACUCCUACGGGAGGCAGCAGUGGGGAAUAUUGGACAAUGGGGGCAACCCUGAUCCAGCGAUGCCGCGUGAGUGAUGAAGGCCCUAGGGUUGUAAAGCUCUUUUGUCAGGGAAGAUAAUGACGGUACCUGAAGAAUAAGAUCCGGCUAA